Molecule: ribosomal RNA, 229 nt
Filed under: uncultured bacterium
Lineage: Bacteria
Description: partial 16S ribosomal RNA
Rfam family: Bacterial small subunit ribosomal RNA
Source: RNAcentral
UGCGCAGGUGGGCUUGUAAGUCAGUGGUGAAAUACUGCCGCUUAACGGUAGAACUGCCAUUGAUACUGCAAGUCUUGAGUAUGGUUGAGGUAGGCGGAAUGUGUUGUGUAGCGGUGAAAUGCAUAGAUAUGACACAGAACUCCAAUUGCGAAGGCAGCUUACUAAGCCAUUAUUGACGCUGAGGCACGAAAGCGUGGGGAGCGAACAGGAUUAGAUACCCUGGUAGUCC